This is a non-coding RNA of Podarcis lilfordi (Lilford's wall lizard), 111 nucleotides long. The record is from the annotation of a GenBank genome assembly. Lineage: Eukaryota; Metazoa; Chordata; Lepidosauria; Squamata; Lacertidae.
CACGAGGUAUUUCCUGGGAAUUGAUGACUGAUUGGUGUUAAUGGCCCUCAGCUGCACCUCAGGCCAUCAGCUCCUCCCAGCUGGUCAUUAAUCCACAGGAAAUGUCUCAGG